CGGGUUGGGCGGGCCGGGGCGGGGAGGGGUUUGUGGGUGAGGCCUUGGUCCCCCGCCCGCUGAGGAGAUGGAUGAGGAUGGGCUUCCUCUCAUGGGGUCAGGCAUAGACCUGACUAAGGUGCCAGCUAUUCAACAGAAAAGAACGGUGGCAUUUCUAAACCAGUUUGUGGUGCACACUGUACAGUUCCUCAACCGAUUUUCUACAGUUUGUGAGGAGAAACUGGCAGACCUUUCUCUUCGUAUCCAGCAAAUUGAAACAACUCUCAAUAUUUUAGAUGCAAAGUUGUCAUCUAUCCCAGGGCUAGAUGAUGUCACAUUUGAAGUAUCUCCUGUAAGUGUCACUAGGAUCACAAAUGAAACACAUUCUGAAACCACUUCAGAGCAAUCACAGCCGAACAGUUUGCAAGACUCUGGACCACAGGAAACUGAAGUAACACCAGAAAAUAUCUUAACUGUAGCCAAGGAUCCAAGAUAUGCCAGAUAUCUCAAAAUGGUUCAAGUGGGUGUUCCAGUCAUGGCAAUAAGAAACAAAAUGAUAUCAGAAGGACUAGACCCAGAUCUUCUUGAGUGAGAUUCCUAGGCAUUGUGAUGCAGACCAGGGAUUACCACCAUCCUGCUUAUCCUAGCAAUAAGGAGUGUGUCCAUACCUUGCAACAGGAUGCCUUAAACAGAUGAGUAAAUCACAGUACACAAUAAAUUUUAUGGCUGAAGAAAUUAAUUCUGCGGAAAUCUCCCUCUAACAGGACCCAGCCUGAAAGAACAGCCUCUGCAUAGGACAUGUCUGGGAAAGAGCAAGAGAACUGGCCAAAACUCAAGAUGAGUCGUAGACUUUCUGCUCCAACAUGGAGAGAGAGGGAGAGAGACCCAAAAGGGAGAAGAGUUGGCUCUCAGUAGCUUUCCAUUCGGCUGGAAAAGGAACAGCUCUGGUUGCUACAACUAUGGUUGCUCCUUCUUGCUAUUUAUGGAUGGGGUGGCUGUUACUGCAGUCCACUAGUGCCCCCUAUUGUCCCCUUCAGGAAGCUCACAAGGCAGCAUGAACGGCCGAACCUGGGACUUAAUAGCCCAGUUGGUGAAGACAAGCACACUCAGAAACUUCAAAUAACAAUAUAAGGGAAUGGAACAGAGAUAGCAACUAGGUCUCGCGUCACUUGCCAUGAGCCUUCAGUGGCUGCCUCAAGUGCCAUGUGGAGAAGAAUUCUGAAGUUCUUGCCAGCCUUGGAGAGAAAGAGCACUGAUAUCAAAAACAAAGUGAUGUUUUUCAUGGGAAUGAGGAGUAUGAAUGAAGUUAUACCACACAUACUUACCAUUCUUAAAAUGAAUGAUGAAAUGCCAGAUGUGACAGAUUAGAUAGAACAGUCAUUUCUGGAGAAGAUAAGAUAGCUGGACCUUGGAGGAUGAGUUUGAUGUGAAUAGAAGGAGAUGAAGUAAGGGAGGGAGAGGUAUCUGGCACCAGGGAUUUUGUGAGCAAGUGUGCCAGAUAUAAAAUCCAUAUGGCCUAUUUGUGUGGCAAUAAGUAGACCAGUCUGUCUAAAGAAGGGUUUGAUGCUAAAGAUUAGCUCUACAAAUAUGGUAACCAGAGAUGCGGAGCUGAUGAUGCAACAUCCAAUAAGUUCUCCCACUGUUCCCACAAAUUCCCUCUUAUGCAUUGGGCCAUGUGCCUCUCAGAAAAUGUGGAUACCAGUAAGUCUCUAGCACCAUCUUGUCUAUCAUGGAGCUGUUCAAAGGCUCUUUUCCAGGACCUCCCUGGUGGCGCAGUGGUUAAGAAUCCGCCUGCCAACGC
Balaenoptera ricei (Rice's whale) is the source of this 1780-nucleotide RNA transcript. It is a transcript of the gene named WASH complex subunit 3, with no coding region annotated. The record is from RefSeq and is a predicted model, not a curated record. NCBI's taxonomy places the organism in Eukaryota, Metazoa, Chordata, Mammalia, Artiodactyla, Balaenopteridae. The transcript has 11 exons.